UGAAGCUGGUUUCUUGUUUCUUCUGUUUUCUUCUCAUCUUCUCUGAAGCUUAAACUCCUGAUUGAAGUCUUGAUGUCAGCUGAUAGUCAGAGAACUCUUUUCCUGUCUGAGAGCUUUGUUUCAUUGGUUUAGAAGGAAACACAGAGAAUUCCCUCCUGACUGGAUUGAUUUGGGAACAUGUUCAAUGUUUGUUCUAAUAAAGAGAUCGGAAGAGAGU
Long non-coding RNA from Salarias fasciatus (jewelled blenny), 217 nucleotides. RefSeq lists it as uncharacterized. Lineage: Eukaryota; Metazoa; Chordata; Actinopteri; Blenniiformes; Blenniidae. The transcript is spliced from 3 exons. The record is from RefSeq and is a predicted model, not a curated record.